CUCUUAUCAAGAGAGGUGGAGGGAUGUGCCCUAUGAAACCCGGCAACCAUCAGUUCAUAACUGAAAUGGUGCCAAUUCACACAAAACAAUCUUGUAUUGUUUUGGAAGAUGAGAG
RNAcentral lists this non-coding RNA (115 nucleotides) under Heyndrickxia shackletonii. RNAcentral describes it as "Bacillus shackletonii SAM-I sequence". It matches the Rfam family "SAM riboswitch aptamer (S box leader)". From Rfam's summary of the family: The SAM riboswitch is found upstream of a number of genes which code for proteins involved in methionine or cysteine biosynthesis in Gram-positive bacteria. The record is from Rfam by way of RNAcentral. Lineage: Bacteria; Bacillati; Bacillota; Bacilli; Caryophanales; Bacillaceae.